This 467-nucleotide ribosomal RNA is filed under the name uncultured bacterium. RNAcentral describes it as "partial 16S ribosomal RNA". It matches the Rfam family "Bacterial small subunit ribosomal RNA", at positions 28 to 506 of the family's 1533-position model. The record is from RNAcentral.
GACGAACGCUGGCGGCGUGCUUAACACAUGCAAGUCGAACGGAAAGGCCCUGCUUUUGUGGGGUGCUCGAGUGGCGAACGGGUGAGUAACACGUGAGUAACCUGCCCUUGACUUUGGGAUAACUUCAGGAAACUGGGGCUAAUACCGGAUAGGAGCUCCUGCUGCAUGGUGGGGGUUGGAAAGUUUCGGCGGUUGGGGAUGGACUCGCGGCUUAUCAGCUUGUUGGUGGGGUAGUGGCUUACCAAGGCUUUGACGGGUAGCCGGCCUGAGAGGGUGACCGGCCACAUUGGGACUGAGAUACGGCCCAGACUCCUACGGGAGGCAGCAGGGGGGAAUAUUGCACAAUGGGCGGAAGCCUGAUGCAGCAACGCCGCGUGCGGGAGGACGGCCUUCGGGUGGUAAACCGCUUUCGCCUGUGACGAAGCGUGAGGGACGGGAAUGGGGAAAGAAACACCGGCUAACUACGG